Molecule: ribosomal RNA, 253 nt
Filed under: uncultured bacterium
Lineage: Bacteria
Description: partial 16S ribosomal RNA
Rfam family: Bacterial small subunit ribosomal RNA
Source: RNAcentral
UACAGAGGGGGCAAGCGUUGUUCGGAAUUACUGGGCGUAAAGGGCGCGUAGGCGGCCUUCUAAGUCGAACGUGAAAUCCCCGGGCUCAACCCGGGAACUGCGUCCGAUACUGGAAGGCUUGAAUCCGGGAGAGGGAUGCGGAAUUCCAGGUGUAGCGGUGAAAUGCGUAGAUAUUCGGUGGAACACCAGUGGCGAAGGCGACUCGCUGGACUGAUACUGACGCUGAGGUGCGAAAGCGUGGGGAGCAAACAGG